UUUGACCCCGGUUACGCGACACGUCAAUUUUUGGCGCCGUUGCCGGGGAUGCCAAGAAGAAUCGAAGAAGAUAUAUAGUUUUUUUUUAUUUAUUGGUUUUCGGCUUGUAAUUAAGUUUGGCCGAUUUGUAUUUUUAAUUUUUGGAAGUUUCGGUUUGAUUUGUGUGCUUAAAUGCAUGUUAUAAUAACUUAGUUUAAUUUCUAGGAAGUUUAUAGUUUUAUGUGUGCUUGUGUUUAUUGUAGCUUCUAAAGUGAAACAUGUAGGGGGAAGCCACUUUUGUUAAUCUUAGCCUUAACCCUUCAUGUUAUCUUAUGAUCUCAUGAGGUUGAGGGCGGCUUUGAUUAACACUUGUAGACCGGUCUAGUGACCUGAGUUUGUUCUCAACUGUGUAAGGGGCAAGUUAUUUUCAUAGAUAUGGUUCUCAGGUUUGUUUAACUAGAUCUCAAGGUCAUAGACUGAUAUCUCUUCUCAGUGAAGGGGUCGAUUGGGAGUUCGCUCUCCGUGACCACUAAACGAGUCCUGCCUGGUUCCUGUAGGGGGUUCGCCCUCCGUGAAUCUUAACGACACAGCCUUCUGAAAACACGGAACACGCUCGAACUAGCUAAGAGCUUGGGCCGAAGCAUCACCUCACUUUAGACGCUAGAAAAUAACUUGGUAUAUGUGAUCUAUUUUCUUCAAACCAAUUUGAAUAAAAUCAACUAGAAAGAACUAGGUUGUGGCGCCAUGUAUUUGAACAUAUUGUUGAUUUCGAUGCUUGAAAGUUGUUUACAUACUUGUAUAAAAAUCUGAAGAUUUCAUAUCUAACCCUUGUAUAACCGAUUGUAUGAUUUUGUAACGCUUGAAAUUAUUUUUAUUUUACGAUGAUGCUAACUUGAUCUUGUUCAAAUGUGCCAGAUUGGUUUUGCAGGGUCCCAUGAAUGACCAGUUCUGAUACGUGGACAAGAGAUAGUAAAAACCGAUUGAAGCGUGUUGGAGAAGAGUACGAUCUUGAGGUUCCAUCAACAUCUCAUCCGCACUUACAAUCAGUUUCAUUACC
Molecule: long non-coding RNA, 1036 nt
Filed under: Fragaria vesca (wild strawberry)
Lineage: Eukaryota; Viridiplantae; Streptophyta; Magnoliopsida; Rosales; Rosaceae
Description: long non-coding RNA (FVES_LNC004564)
Source: RNAcentral